UGCUCAUUGGAACACCAGGUCUUGUGUUUUCUCUUCUGGAUUGCCUAUUUGCUAUGGCCUUGUAUUUUUUCACUGUUGGAAUUACAAUAGACACUACUACUGUAAGGAAAAAUCAGGAGCCCUCUUGAAAGAUGCCCUCUCGCCCUCCUCCUCUAAAGUCUACAUCUGUUUCAUUGGGCUUCCAUUUGGCUGGCAGACAGAUCCAGGCAUCAGCUACUGACUUCAACCUGUGACACAUGGACUUGCUGAAAUCUGAUAUGGACCAAUCCAGCCAAUAUAAAUGCUGUUUCUUCAGCUGGUCAAUGAACCAGAUGCUUCUAAAUCCC
Peromyscus maniculatus bairdii (prairie deer mouse) is the source of this 326-nucleotide non-coding RNA. The record is from RefSeq and is a predicted model, not a curated record. Lineage: Eukaryota; Metazoa; Chordata; Mammalia; Rodentia; Cricetidae.